Molecule: ribosomal RNA, 559 nt
Filed under: Coniochaeta sp.
Lineage: Eukaryota; Fungi; Ascomycota; Sordariomycetes; Coniochaetales; Coniochaetaceae
Description: partial large subunit ribosomal RNA
Rfam family: Eukaryotic large subunit ribosomal RNA
Source: RNAcentral
AAACCAACAGGGAUUGCCCCAGUAACGGCGAGUGAAGCGGCAACAGCUCAAAUUUGAAAUCUGGCUUCGGCCCGAGUUGUAAUUUGUAGAGGAUGCUUUUGGUGAGGUGCCUUCUGAGUUCCCUGGAACGGGACGCCAGAGAGGGUGAGAGCCCCGUAUAGUCGGCCACCGAUCCUUUGUAAAGCUCCUUCGACGAGUCGAGUAGUUUGGGAAUGCUGCUCAAAAUGGGAGGUAUAUCUCUUCUAAAGCUAAAUAUUGGCCAGAGACCGAUAGCGCACAAGUAGAGUGAUCGAAAGAUGAAAAGCACUUUGAAAAGAGGGUUAAAUAGUACGUGAAAUUGUUGAAAGGGAAGCGCUUGUGACCAGACUUGUGCCGGGCUGAUCAUCCAGUGUUCUCACUGGUGCACUCUGCCCGGCUCAGGCCAGCGUCGGUUCUCGCAGGUGGACAAAAGCUUCGGGAACGUGGCCCCUCCGGGGGUGUUAUAGCCCGUUGCUCAAUACACUUGCGGGGACCGAGGUUCGCGCUCUGCAAGGACGCUGGCAUAAUGGUCAUCAGCGGC